UCAUAUAAAGACAGCUCAGCCUCAUCUACGAAGCAUGCUGGCAUGGCCACUAAUAUGUCACACACUACACCAGAUUGCGGAUCACCAUGCAUAUACUCAACAAACCAAAAUAUUACUUUAUGACUACUCAAAAACUGGAAACCUUAACCCCAGAAAAGUCAACCAAUUAUUCAUGAACAAAAAUAGAAGAAAAACAACUAAACAGGACAGAUCUAAUACAGCACAAAAAAGGCAUGGAUAAUACACAUCAAAUCUCUUCUAUUACUACUAGUUUCAGAACCAUUCAUCCAUAAAAUUUAAAGGAAAGUAAGAAAGAAAGAAAGAAGAAAAAGACGCGGUUCUUAUCAUAACUUUUCCCUUUCCCUAUUUGAAGAAAGAAAUUAAUCCGAUAGAUACACAAGAUUGACAUACAAUCACCAUUUUUUCUUUUUCAUAUAUUUUUUAGUUCUUUUCUCUGUCAGUACCACAUUUUAGUUUCCUCUUUUUUUCAGCAUCAAUCCGUUGUCACUGGCUGACUCAUGCAGCACCUGAAACGGGCCUUCCGGACAGUUGUCAUUAUUUCACUCUCCGCAUUCUCCAGC
RNAcentral lists this long non-coding RNA (581 nucleotides) under Actinidia chinensis (golden kiwifruit). RNAcentral describes it as "long non-coding RNA (ACHI_LNC004064)". Lineage: Eukaryota; Viridiplantae; Streptophyta; Magnoliopsida; Ericales; Actinidiaceae. The record is from RNAcentral.